AUGAUGACGCGCCGAUUCGCGACGACUACGUCCUACCUUUGGACAAGACGAUGGCCAUGGUGGAAUAUGAUGCACCCCCCCACAUGGUUCCAUCACAAUGAUGAUCUUGACCAGCAUUUGUCCUUACCCACCUCACCUACACCACAUGAGUGGAAUGACAAAGAUAACAUAGGUGAAGGUACCCACGAAUUCUUGUCAACAUCGCAAUCCCACGAGUUGACAAAACGAGCUCUAGAGAGCAAUGAUGACUUGGGAUUCCAUGGAUUGUCUUUCCCACCGCUCUCUUCGCGCAAAGACUUCGCGCAUUUCUUCUACUUGGCUCUCACUUGGCUAUGGGUUAUUGUCCGUUAUAUAUUAUAUGCCCAUCUUGCCAUGAUCACUUUGCAUGAUAUGCUCACUCCUACGCCUUUGGCAUGCAUUUGUGACCCUUGCUUUGCAUUACACAUGAUGAUUGAUUCUAGUACUUGUAUGUGUAUUUGCAAGCUUGGUGGAGAUAUUGCUUGUUAUUGCCAUGUUUGCUUUGUGCCCCAUGCCUAUGAUGAUACUAUGAUCUUGCUUUGUGCUCGUGCUUGUGAUAUGUCAUGUGCAUUAUCUAUUCCUAUUAUUUGCUCACAUGACAUGAUUGCCAUGAUUUCCUCUAGUAUGUUGCAUCUUCGCACUACUAGCUUGCAUGACUUGAUUACUAUGCUUGCUUAUGUUGCAUCACCAAUGAUUCAUACUUGCUCACUUCAUGCGGUUGAUGACAACCAUCUACAGGCUUUGCACAUGAUUGUUAUUGCUUCUUGUCAUAUCUCUCCAUAUGUUGCCUCCCUCAUGCUAGAUGAUUUGACAUGUAUUGAGUGCAACAAUGCCUUUUUAGUCUUGAUGAUGAGAUUUCCCCAUAGCAUUCUCACGUAUAUUUGGAGAUUUUGA
This 912-nucleotide ribosomal RNA is filed under the name Triticum aestivum (bread wheat). RNAcentral describes it as "partial small subunit ribosomal RNA". The record is from RNAcentral. Lineage: Eukaryota; Viridiplantae; Streptophyta; Magnoliopsida; Poales; Poaceae.